UACGUAGGGGGCGAGCGUUGUCCGGAGUUACUGGGCGUAAAGCGCACGCAGGCGGUCUGCUAAGUUUGGAGUGACAGUUGGUGGCUUAACUGCCAAAGUGCUUCGAAAACUGACAGACUUGAGGGCUUCAGAGGGACACGGAAUUCCGGGUGGAGUGGUGAAAUGCGUAGAUAUCCGGAGGAAUACCAAAGGCGAAGGCAGUGUCCUGGAGGGUUAACUGACGCUGAGGCGCGAAAGCUAGGGGAGCGAACAGG
Molecule: ribosomal RNA, 254 nt
Filed under: uncultured bacterium
Lineage: Bacteria
Description: partial 16S ribosomal RNA
Rfam family: Bacterial small subunit ribosomal RNA
Source: RNAcentral